CCACACAAAAAGAACACGUUCUCUCUCAUCUUUCACCUUCACCUCCCUUAUCUAAAAACCCUAGCCGUCCUCACCACCUUCACCACGACCAACACCAACAUAAUGACCAACACUCCCACCAAAUUUAUUGUCACCGGUCACCACUACUACUUGUCAUCACCACGUUUUUGUAACUCAUCCUCACAAAAACACAAACCCAAUAUAUAUUUCACAAAUCAAAAAAUAGAAAUCAUUCAUCAUCUUGACAGUCUAUUAUUCAUGGCUUGUUUCUAGUUGUUUGUAAGCUCUUCAACUAACUUCAAAAUGCUGCAUAGAGUAUGUUUAUUUGUGGAGUUUGAUUCGUCUUCAGUCAACUUCAAGAUGCUGCAUAGAGGUUGCUAAUUAGGUGGUGUUUUUCUCUUUCAAGCAGAGACUAGAAGAAUCGUCGGUCAUGCCAACCUUUAGAAAUUGCUCUAGUAUGAAUUUCUUUAUCUCACAAUUUAUUUGCUCAUUCUAGGAAACUAGAAAAUAGUUAAAUUAUGUGAUGGUUGUUAAAAUGUACUGGUUCAAUAUCUAACUAGAGUUUUAAGUUAUGUGAGUAGGAAUUUUUCAAAUAUUGAUAUCUAUCUACUAUGAUGCAAAACUAUGUAGUCUGUUUUCCACACAUGCACUCAUAUUAUUGAAAUGGAAUGUAUGAUAAGAAAGAUGUUAUGUACCAACUUAAGUAAAUAUUCUCCUAAAAAAUAAAAACAUUUUGUGAAGUCUAUGGUUAGCUUAGUUUUGAGGAAUGUCAAACUGCUAUUCCUAAUUUCUAUGAUUAUGGAAAUCUUCUUGUCUUUUUUGUGUGUAUUAUCAUGUAGCUGAGAAUUGUGCAUUAUCUUUCAGAACAAGUGGUUCCUCCUCCUCUACAGCAUUGCAGUGCCAUUGCCAUUUUACCAUUCAAUAGAGUUUACUAAAACAAAUUUAUCCAAUCAAAGAAAUGGAGUUUACUAAAAUGAUUGGUCAGUCAUGGAAUUGUCUCAGUCCUUAAGAAAGAAUGAUUGAUGUAGAAUAGCCAUUAAUGCAAAGGGAUGAAGAUCAGCAAAGUUGAUGACGAUCAAUAAUUAUCUUAAAUUGAUGGAGAGUUUAAAUGUUUAAUUAUCAAUUUUCAAUGUUAUAUUUUUUUAUCUAGGUUUUUAAUUUGUAUUAGCAAUUUAAUAUCAUUAAAGUAAUUGAUAAUUAAUAGGAUUUUCUAUCAUACUGGAGGCUCUGUAUUUAACUAAUAAGUUAAUAUGCAUUAAAUCAUUUUAAAUA
Long non-coding RNA from Vicia villosa (hairy vetch), 1272 nucleotides. RefSeq lists it as uncharacterized. The record is from RefSeq and is a predicted model, not a curated record. The transcript is spliced from 4 exons. NCBI's taxonomy places the organism in Eukaryota, Viridiplantae, Streptophyta, Magnoliopsida, Fabales, Fabaceae.